This 449-nucleotide ribosomal RNA is filed under the name uncultured bacterium. RNAcentral describes it as "partial 16S ribosomal RNA". It matches the Rfam family "Bacterial small subunit ribosomal RNA", at positions 29 to 523 of the family's 1533-position model. The record is from RNAcentral.
AACGAACGCUGGCGGCAUGCCUAACACAUGCAAGUCGAACGAGAUCUUCGGGUCUAGGGGCGCACGGGUUCGUAACGCGUGGGAAUCUGCCCUGUGGUUCGGAAUAACAGUUGGAAACGACUGCUAAUACCGGAUGAUGACGAAAGUCCAAAGAUUUAUCGCCAGAGGAUGAGCCCGCGUAGGAUUAGCUAGUUGGUGUGGUAAAGGCGCACCAAGGCGACGAUCCUUAGCUGGUCUGAGAGGAUGAUCAGCCACACUGGGACUGAGACACGGCCCAGACUCCUACGGGAGGCAGCAGUGGGGAAUAUUGGACAAUGGGCGAAAGCCUGAUCCAGCAAUGCCGCGUGAGUGAUGAAGGCCUUAGGGUUGUAAAGCUCUUUUACCCGGGAUGAUAAUGACAGUACCGGGAGAAUAAGCUCCGGCUAACUCCGUGCCAGCAGCCGCAGUAA